This 85-nucleotide transfer RNA is filed under the name Allostella humosa. RNAcentral's name for it is "Stella humosa tRNA-Thr". Lineage: Bacteria; Pseudomonadati; Pseudomonadota; Alphaproteobacteria; Rhodospirillales; Allostellaceae. The record is from RNAcentral.
GGUGCUGGCGGCCUGGGGGCUGGUGGUCCUGGUACGGCUGCUCGGCCGGCGGACCUGGAUCAUGGCGCUGGCCAUGCCGGCGCUG